GGCCUUCGGGUUGUAAACUGCUUUUGUACGGAACGAAAAGGCCCUGGUGAACAACCGGGGUUGCUGACGGCACCGUAAGAAUAAGCACCGACUAACUACGUGCCAGCAGCCGCGGUAAUACGUAGGGUGCGAGCGUUAAUCGGAAUUACUGGGCGUAAAGCGUGCGCAGGCGGACAUGCAAGACAGAUGUGAAAUCCCCGGGCUCAACCUGGGAACUGCAUAUGUGACUGUAUGACUGGAGUACGGCAGAGGGGGAUGGAAUUCCGCGUGUAGCAGUGAAAUGCGUAGAUAUGCCGGAGGAACACCGAUGGCGAAGGCAAUCCCCUGGGCCAGUACUGACGCUCAUGCACGAAAGCGUGGGGAGCAAACAGGAUUAGAUACCCUGGUAGUCC
RNAcentral lists this ribosomal RNA (392 nucleotides) under uncultured bacterium. RNAcentral's name for it is "bacterial SSU rRNA". It matches the Rfam family "Bacterial small subunit ribosomal RNA", at positions 413 to 796 of the family's 1533-position model. The record is from RNAcentral.